GACCCGCACAAGUAGUGGAGCAUGUGGUUUAAUUCGAAGAUACGCGCAGAACCUUACCAGGGCUUAAAUGCAGAGCGAAUAGUUUGGAAACAGACUAGCCUUCGGGCGAUCUGCAAGGUGCUGCAUGGCUGUCGUCAGCUCGUGCCGUGAGGUGUUGGUUAAGUCCCGCAACGAGCGCAACCCCUAUCUUUAGUUGCCAGCGAGUAAUGUCGGGGACUCUAAAGAAACUGCCUACGCAAGUAGAGAGGAAGGCGGGGACGACGUCAAGUCAUCACGGCCCUUACGUCCUGGGCCACACACGUGCUACAAUGGUUGGUACAGAGGGCAGCUACCGGGUGACCGGAUGCGAA
Molecule: ribosomal RNA, 350 nt
Filed under: uncultured bacterium
Lineage: Bacteria
Description: bacterial SSU rRNA
Rfam family: Bacterial small subunit ribosomal RNA
Source: RNAcentral